This 304-nucleotide unclassified non-coding RNA is filed under the name Hevea brasiliensis (rubber tree). The record is from RNAcentral. Lineage: Eukaryota; Viridiplantae; Streptophyta; Magnoliopsida; Malpighiales; Euphorbiaceae.
UUUUUUUCAAGAGAAGACAUAAAAAUGUAUUUCGAGCUCAUGGGGAGAUAAAUAAGAAAAUUGAAAUGCAGAAGUAAAAAAAAAAAAUGGUAAAUAGAUAAUAAAUGUCAAUCAUUAUCAGUUUGGCAAAAUGUUGCCAUUACGUUCAUCACUGUUCAUCACCGUUGAAAAUGAACCCACCAAUCACCACACUGUUCCACAUCCGUUCAUUGAUAAUUAAUGAACAACAAAGAAAGUGAAAAGAACUCAAAUCUCUGUAAAAAGGUGAAACUAUACCCUUCCAUUAUUGCAUAGAAAAUCAAGA